This 2357-nucleotide ribosomal RNA is filed under the name Bacillus cereus VD021. RNAcentral's name for it is "bacterial LSU rRNA". It matches the Rfam family "Bacterial large subunit ribosomal RNA", at positions 3 to 2362 of the family's 2925-position model. Lineage: Bacteria; Bacillati; Bacillota; Bacilli; Caryophanales; Bacillaceae. The record is from RNAcentral.
UUAAGUUAGAAAGGGCGCACGGUGGAUGCCUUGACACUAGGAGUCGAUGAAGGACGGGACUAACGCCGAUAUGCUUCGGGGAGCUGUAAGUAAGCUUUGAUCCGAAGAUUUCCGAAUGGGGAAACCCACUAUACGUAAUGGUAUGGUAUCCUUACCUGAAUACAUAGGGUAUGGAAGACAGACCCAGGGAACUGAAACAUCUAAGUACCUGGAGGAAGAGAAAGCAAAUGCGAUUUCCUGAGUAGCGGCGAGCGAAACGGAAUCUAGCCCAAACCAAGAGGCUUGCCUCUUGGGGUUGUAGGACAUUCUAUACGGAGUUACAAAGGAACGAGGUAGACGAAGCGACCUGGAAAGGUCCGUCACAGAGGGUAAUAACCCCGUAGUCGAAACUUCGUUCUCUCUUGAAUGUAUCCUGAGUACGGCGGAACACGUGAAAUUCCGUCGGAAUCUGGGAGGACCAUCUCCCAAGGCUAAAUACUCCCUAGUGAUCGAUAGUGAACCAGUACCGUGAGGGAAAGGUGAAAAGCACCCCGGAAGGGGAGUGAAAGAGAUCCUGAAACCGUGUGCCUACAAAUAGUCAGAGCCCGUUAAUGGGUGAUGGCGUGCCUUUUGUAGAAUGAACCGGCGAGUUACGAUCCCGUGCAAGGUUAAGCUGAAGAGGCGGAGCCGCAGCGAAAGCGAGUCUGAAUAGGGCGUUUAGUACGUGGUCGUAGACCCGAAACCAGGUGAUCUACCCAUGUCCAGGGUGAAGUUCAGGUAACACUGAAUGGAGGCCCGAACCCACGCACGUUGAAAAGUGCGGGGAUGAGGUGUGGGUAGCGGAGAAAUUCCAAUCGAACCUGGAGAUAGCUGGUUCUCCCCGAAAUAGCUUUAGGGCUAGCCUUAAGUGUAAGAGUCUUGGAGGUAGAGCACUGAUUGAACUAGGGGUCCUCAUCGGAUUACCGAAUUCAGUCAAACUCCGAAUGCCAAUGACUUAUCCUUAGGAGUCAGACUGCGAGUGAUAAGAUCCGUAGUCAAGAGGGAAACAGCCCAGAUCGCCAGCUAAGGUCCCAAAGUGUGUAUUAAGUGGAAAAGGAUGUGGAGUUGCUUAGACAACUAGGAUGUUGGCUCAGAAGCAGCCACCAUUUAAAGAGUGCGUAAUAGCUCACUAGUCGAGUGACUCUGCGCCGAAAAUGUACCGGGGCUAAAUACACCACCGAAGCUGCGAAUUGAUACCAAUGGUAUCAGUGGUAGGGGAGCGUUCUAAGUGCAGUGAAGUCAGACCGGAAGGACUGGUGGAGCGCUUAGAAGUGAGAAUGCCGGUAUGAGUAGCGAAAGACGGGUGAGAAUCCCGUCCACCGAAUGCCUAAGGUUUCCUGAGGAAGGCUCGUCCGCUCAGGGUUAGUCAGGACCUAAGCCGAGGCCGACAGGCGUAGGCGAUGGACAACAGGUUGAUAUUCCUGUACCACCUCUUUAUCGUUUGAGCAAUGGAGGGACGCAGAAGGAUAGAAGAAGCGUGCGAUUGGUUGUGCACGUCCAAGCAGUUAGGCUGAUAAGUAGGCAAAUCCGCUUAUCGUGAAGGCUGAGCUGUGAUGGGGAAGCUCCUUAUGGAGCGAAGUCUUUGAUUCCCCGCUGCCAAGAAAAGCUUCUAGCGAGAUAAAAGGUGCCUGUACCGCAAACCGACACAGGUAGGCGAGGAGAGAAUCCUAAGGUGUGCGAGAGAACUCUGGUUAAGGAACUCGGCAAAAUGACCCCGUAACUUCGGGAGAAGGGGUGCUUUCUUAACGGAAAGCCGCAGUGAAUAGGCCCAAGCGACUGUUUAGCAAAAACACAGGUCUCUGCGAAGCCGUAAGGCGAAGUAUAGGGGCUGACACCUGCCCGGUGCUGGAAGGUUAAGGAGAGGGGUUAGCAUAAGCGAAGCUCUGAACUGAAGCCCCAGUAAACGGCGGCCGUAACUAUAACGGUCCUAAGGUAGCGAAAUUCCUUGUCGGGUAAGUUCCGACCCGCACGAAAGGUGUAACGAUUUGGGCACUGUCUCAACCAGAGACUCGGUGAAAUUAUAGUACCUGUGAAGAUGCAGGUUACCCGCGACAGGACGGAAAGACCCCGUGGAGCUUUACUGUAGCCUGAUAUUGAAUUUUGGUACAGUUUGUACAGGAUAGGCGGGAGCCAUUGAAACCGGAGCGCUAGCUUCGGUGGAGGCGCUGGUGGGAUACCGCCCUGACUGUAUUGAAAUUCUAACCUACGGGUCUCAUCGACCCGGGAGACAGUGUCAGGUGGGCAGUUUGACUGGGGCGGUCGCCUCCUAAAGUGUAACGGAGGCGCCCAAAGGUUCCCUCAGAAUGGUUGGAAAUCAUUCGUAGAGUGCAAAGGCAUAA